Molecule: long non-coding RNA, 384 nt
Filed under: Helianthus annuus (common sunflower)
Lineage: Eukaryota; Viridiplantae; Streptophyta; Magnoliopsida; Asterales; Asteraceae
Description: hypothetical non coding rna
Source: RNAcentral
GCUAUAGGGGUAAUGCACCUCCCCCAUUUGUAGUCGAGGGGUAUUGUUAGGAGGAGACAUAUUAACCUCCCGUGAAACUUUGGGUUAGGUACUUUAACGUUGAUUAUUGAAGUAUGGAUGAUUGAUGAAACAAGUUUAGGUAGCGCUAUAGGGGUAAUGCACCUCCCCCAUUUGUAGUCGAGGGGUAUUGUUAGGAGGAGACAUAUUAACCUCCCGUGAAACUUUGGGUUAGGUACUUUAACGCAUUGGAAACUUGGGCUAUCACUUGGACUGCGUAAACUAGCAUGGCUGAAACUAUUUUAUUAUGUUCAUGUUGGAUAUGAGUUUUUAUUCUAUUAUGCUAUGUAAACAAACUUGUAUACUCGCUCUUUGCUUUUGCAUUGA